Molecule: ribosomal RNA, 413 nt
Filed under: uncultured crenarchaeote
Lineage: Archaea; Thermoproteati; Thermoproteota
Description: bacterial SSU rRNA
Rfam family: Archaeal small subunit ribosomal RNA
Source: RNAcentral
GUCAGCCGCCGCGGUAAAACCAGCACCUCAAGUGGUCAGUAUGAUUAUUGGGCCUAAAGCAUCCGUAGCCGGCUCUGUAAGUUUUCGGUUAAAUCUGUACGCUCAACGUACAGUCUGCCGGGAAUACUGCAGAGCUAGGGAGUGGGAGAGGUAGACGGUACUCGGUAGGAAGGGUUAAAAUCCUUUGAUCUAUUGAUGACCACCUGUGGCGAAGGCGUUCUACCAGAACACGUCCGACGGUGAGGGAUGAAAGCUGGGGGAGCAAACCGGAUUAGAUACCCGGGUAGUCCCAGCUGUAAACUAUGCAAACUCAGUGAUGCAUUGGCUUGUGGCCAAUGCAGUGCUGCAGGGAAGCCGUUAAGUUUGCCGCCUGGGAAGACGUACGCAAGUAUGAAACUCAAAGGAAUUGACGG